GUUAAAUAUUUUAAAAUAAAAUAACAAACUUCUAAAGAAACUUUCAUUUUUAUUUAAAAUAAAAAAUAGUUUCAGUUUCAUCAAUGUAGGUAGGAUGGCAGCGAGGUUGCCAUAGUAAGACUGUGCUGCUGCCGCCAUGCUGCCGCUAGCAAUACCCGCACUACCGAAACCCAACCAUGGGGCUACCCAAGCCGCUCCCAGGCCUCCUGUACCGUAAAUUACGGCACCCCCAAUUACAUUUACUGCUACAGCUGUGAAGAACCCCAUUUUCUGUAAUCGAAUGACAAAUUCACAAAAAAAACAAGCUAUGCAACGCAAUGGAACGCUGUUUAGUGCAGCCGCGCUACUGCGCAAAUGAAGAUAGUUCUGCAGUCAGCUAAUGUAUUAAAGUCUUCAACUUUACGCAUCUUUGCAAUUUCUUUUUAUACCUCGUUGGUAUACCUAUAAUAUUAUCUAUAUCCAGUACUAAAGUGGGGACUUUUUGAUCUAAAUGGUUUAGUGUUGCUAGUUUAAUU
This 515-nucleotide unclassified non-coding RNA is filed under the name Melitaea cinxia (Glanville fritillary). Its description in RNAcentral is "misc RNA ENSMCXG00005021201.1". The record is from RNAcentral. Lineage: Eukaryota; Metazoa; Arthropoda; Insecta; Lepidoptera; Nymphalidae.